Molecule: ribosomal RNA, 987 nt
Filed under: Microbacteriaceae bacterium
Lineage: Bacteria; Bacillati; Actinomycetota; Actinomycetes; Micrococcales; Microbacteriaceae
Description: bacterial SSU rRNA
Rfam family: Bacterial small subunit ribosomal RNA
Source: RNAcentral
GGUUGUAAACCUCUUUUAGUAGGGAAGAAGCGAAAGUGACGGUACCUGCAGAAAAAGCACCGGCUAACUACGUGCCAGCAGCCGCGGUAAUACGUAGGGUGCAAGCGUUGUCGGGAAUUAUUGGGCGUAAAGAGCUAGUAGGCGGUUUGUUGCGUCUGCUGUGAAAACCCGAGGCUCAACCUCGGGCUUGCAGUGGGUACGGGCAGACUAGAGUGCGGUAGGGGAGAUUGGAAUUCUUGGUGUAGCGGUGGAAUGCGCAGAUAUCAGGAGGAACACCGAUGGCGAAGGCAGAUCUCUGGGCCGUAACUGACGCUGAGGAGCGAAAGCGUGGGGAGCGAACAGGAUUAGAUACCGUGGUAGUCCACGCCGUAAACGUUGGGAACUAGAUGUGGGGACCAUUCCACGGUCUCCGUGUCGCAGCUAACGCAUUAAGUUCCCCGCCUGGGGAGUACGGCCGCAAGGCUAAAACUCAAAGGAAUUGACGGGGGCCCGCACAAGCGGCGGAGCAUGCGGAUUAAUUCGAUGCAACGCGAAGAACCUUACCAAGGCUUGACAUAUACCGGAAACGUCUGGAAACAGUCGCCCCGCAAGGUCGGUAUACAGGUGGUGCAUGGUUGUCGUCAGCUCGUGUCGUGAGAUGUUGGGUUAAGUCCCGCAACGAGCGCAACCCUCGUUCUAUGUUGCCAGCACGUAAUGGUGGGAACUCAUAGGAGACUGCCGGGGUCAACUCGGAGGAAGGUGGGGAUGACGUCAAAUCAUCAUGCCCCUUAUGUCUUGGGCUUCACGCAUGCUACAAUGGCCGGUACAAAGGGCUGCAAUACCGUAAGGUGGAGCGAAUCCCAAAAAGCCGGUCUCAGUUCGGAUUGAGGUCUGCAACUCGACCUCAUGAAGUCGGAGUCGCUAGUAAUCGCAGAUCAGCAACGCUGCGGUGAAUACGUUCCCGGGCCUUGUACACACCGCCCGUCAAGUCAUGAAAGUCGGUAACAC